CCUACGGGAGGCUGCAGUGAGGAAUAUUGGUCAAUGGCCGUAAGGCUGAACCAGCCAAGUAGCGUGAAGGAAGAAUGAUCUAUGGUUUGUAAACUUCUUUUAUAAGGGAAUAAAGGUAUCCACGUGUGGAUAUUUGCAUGUACCCUAUGAAUAAGCAUCGGCUAACUCCGUGCCAGCAGCCGCGGUAAUACGGAGGAUGCGAGCGUUAUCCGGUUUUAUUGGGUUUAAAGGGUGCGUAGGCGGAACAUUAAGUCAGCGGUAAAAUCGAGGGGCUCAACCCCUGUAAGCCGUUGAAACUGGUGAUCUUGAGUGGGCGAGAAGUAUGCGGAAUUCGUGGUGUAGCGGUGAAAUGCAUAGAUAUCACGCAGAACUCCGAUUGCGAAGGCAGCAUACCGGCGCCCGACUGACGCUGAGGCACGAAAGCGUGGGGAGCAAACAGGAUUAGAUACCCGAGUAGUC
This 459-nucleotide ribosomal RNA is filed under the name uncultured bacterium. RNAcentral describes it as "partial 16S ribosomal RNA". It matches the Rfam family "Bacterial small subunit ribosomal RNA", at positions 338 to 795 of the family's 1533-position model. The record is from RNAcentral.